AAUACUCAUCGCUUUGAGUUUUUGUUGGUAACAUUUGAUCAUUCGUCUUAUUCAAAAAAAUUAUAGAAUUAUUAUUUAUUUUGUUUAUGACUUGCUUUAUUAUCAAAAGUAUUUUAAGCAUGACUUAUCCUUUUCUGUAUUUACACUAAUUUUUCAAAUAAAACAAAUGGUCAAACGUUACAAGCAAAAUGUCAAAGCGUCCACUAAU
Molecule: microRNA precursor, 208 nt
Filed under: Oryza punctata
Lineage: Eukaryota; Viridiplantae; Streptophyta; Magnoliopsida; Poales; Poaceae
Description: MIR812 microRNA precursor family
Rfam family: MIR812 microRNA precursor family
Source: Rfam by way of RNAcentral